RNAcentral lists this ribosomal RNA (1228 nucleotides) under Bacteroides ovatus. RNAcentral's name for it is "bacterial SSU rRNA". It matches the Rfam family "Bacterial small subunit ribosomal RNA", at positions 108 to 1342 of the family's 1533-position model. The record is from RNAcentral. Lineage: Bacteria; Pseudomonadati; Bacteroidota; Bacteroidia; Bacteroidales; Bacteroidaceae.
GAGUAACACGUAUCCAACCUGCCGAUAACUCCGGAAUAGCCUUUCGAAAGAAAGAUUAAUACCGGAUAGCAUACGAAUAUCGCAUGAUAUUUUUAUUAAAGAAUUUCGGUUAUCGAUGGGGAUGCGUUCCAUUAGUUUGUUGGCGGGGUAACGGCCCACCAAGACAACGAUGGAUAGGGGUUCUGAGAGGAAGGUCCCCCACAUUGGAACUGAGACACGGUCCAAACUCCUACGGGAGGCAGCAGUGAGGAAUAUUGGUCAAUGGGCGAGAGCCUGAACCAGCCAAGUAGCGUGAAGGAUGAAGGCUCUAUGGGUCGUAAACUUCUUUUAUAUGGGAAUAAAGUUUUCCACGUGUGGAAUUUUGUAUGUACCAUAUGAAUAAGGAUCGGCUAACUCCGUGCCAGCAGCCGCGGUAAUACGGAGGAUCCGAGCGUUAUCCGGAUUUAUUGGGUUUAAAGGGAGCGUAGGUGGAUUGUUAAGUCAGUUGUGAAAGUUUGCGGCUCAACCGUAAAAUUGCAGUUGAAACUGGCAGUCUUGAGUACAGUAGAGGUGGGCGGAAUUCGUGGUGUAGCGGUGAAAUGCUUAGAUAUCACGAAGAACUCCGAUUGCGAAGGCAGCUCACUAGACUGUCACUGACACUGAUGCUCGAAAGUGUGGGUAUCAAACAGGAUUAGAUACCCUGGUAGUCCACACAGUAAACGAUGAAUACUCGCUGUUUGCGAUAUACAGUAAGCGGCCAAGCGAAAGCAUUAAGUAUUCCACCUGGGGAGUACGCCGGCAACGGUGAAACUCAAAGGAAUUGACGGGGGCCCGCACAAGCGGAGGAACAUGUGGUUUAAUUCGAUGAUACGCGAGGAACCUUACCCGGGCUUAAAUUGCAACAGAAUAUAUUGGAAACAGUAUAGCCGUAAGGCUGUUGUGAAGGUGCUGCAUGGUUGUCGUCAGCUCGUGCCGUGAGGUGUCGGCUUAAGUGCCAUAACGAGCGCAACCCUUAUCUUUAGUUACUAACAGGUGAUGCUGAGGACUCUAGAGAGACUGCCGUCGUAAGAUGUGAGGAAGGUGGGGAUGACGUCAAAUCAGCACGGCCCUUACGUCCGGGGCUACACACGUGUUACAAUGGGGGGUACAGAAGGCGGCUACCUGGUGACAGGAUGCUAAUCCCAAAAACCUCUCUCAGUUCGGAUCGAAGUCUGCAACCCGACUUCGUGAAGCUGGAUUCGCUAGUAAU